GAGUUUGAUCGUGGCUCAGAGUGAACGCUGGCGGCAGGCCUAACACAUGCAAGUCGAACGGCAGCGCAGCAGUAGCAAUACUGUGGGCGGCGAGUGGCGGACGGGUGAGGAAUACAUCGGAAUCUACCUUGUCGUGGGGGAUAACGUAGGGAAACUUACGCUAAUACCGCAUACGAACUACGGUUGAAAGCGGCGGACCGCAAGGCGUCGCGCGAUUGGAUGAGCCGAUGUCCGAUUAGCUAGUUGGCGGGGUAAAGGCCCACCAAGGCGACGAUCGGUAGCUGGUCUGAGAGGAUGAUCAGCCACACUGGAACUGAGACACGGUCCAGACUCCUACGGGAGGCAGCAGUGGGGAAUAUUGGACAAUGGGCGCAAGCCUGAUCCAGCCAUGCCGCGUGUGUGAAGAAGGCCUUC
Molecule: ribosomal RNA, 414 nt
Filed under: uncultured Gammaproteobacteria bacterium
Lineage: Bacteria; Pseudomonadati; Pseudomonadota; Gammaproteobacteria
Description: bacterial SSU rRNA
Rfam family: Bacterial small subunit ribosomal RNA
Source: RNAcentral